RNAcentral lists this ribosomal RNA (484 nucleotides) under uncultured bacterium. RNAcentral's name for it is "partial 16S ribosomal RNA". It matches the Rfam family "Bacterial small subunit ribosomal RNA", at positions 30 to 507 of the family's 1533-position model. The record is from RNAcentral.
AUUGAACGCUGGCGGCAGGCCUAACACAUGCAAGUCGAGCGGAUGAAGGGAGCUUGCUCCUGGAUUCAGCGGCGGACGGGUGAGUAAUGCCUAGGAAUCUGCCUGGUAGUGGGGGAUAACGUCCGGAAACGGGCGCUAAUACCGCAUACGUCCUGAGGGAGAAAGUGGGGGAUCUUCGGACCUCACGCUAUCAGAUGAGCCUAGGUCGGAUUAGCUAGUUGGUGGGGUAAAGGCCUACCAAGGCGACGAUCCGUAACUGGUCUGAGAGGAUGAUCAGUCACACUGGGACUGAGACACGGUCCAGACGCCUACGGGAGGCAGCAGUGGGGAAUAUUGGACCAUGGGCGAAAGCCUGAUCCAGCCAUGCCGCGUGUGUGAAGAAGGUCUUCGGAUUGUAAAGCACUUUAAGUUGGGAGGAAGGGCAGUAAGUUAAUACCUUGCUGUUUUGACGGUACCAACAGAAUAAGCACCGGCUAACUUCGUG